UUUGCAGUAACAGGUAUGAACACUCUAGCAGCAGUUUGAUGAUCAUGUAUGAUACUGCAAACAGGA
This 66-nucleotide microRNA precursor is filed under the name Cavia porcellus (domestic guinea pig). RNAcentral describes it as "miRNA (ENSCPOG00000035850.1)". It matches the Rfam family "Small Cajal body specific RNA 16", at positions 122 to 187 of the family's 187-position model. Rfam says of the family: scaRNAs are a specific class of small nuclear RNAs which localise to the Cajal bodies and guide the modification of RNA polymerase II transcribed spliceosomal RNAs U1, U2, U4, U5 and U12. ACA47 belongs to the H/ACA box class of guide RNAs as it has the predicted hairpin-hinge-hairpin-tail structure, the conserved H/ACA-box motifs and is found associated with GAR1. The record is from RNAcentral. Lineage: Eukaryota; Metazoa; Chordata; Mammalia; Rodentia; Caviidae.